UCAUGUCACUAGGUCGGCAAACAAGCGCACGGCUCACCUGAUGGUAAGCGAUUACCGUAGCUUAUAGACACCUGCAACACCAGAAGCAUCGCAAGCGCGUUGCCGACCCAAUCCCCAAUCCCCCCAGGAGCUCUGGUCACCUUACUCACCAACAGGAACACAAUACUGCUUGAAAACAGUAUAAUUUUAUAUCUAAUAAUGCGUUUUUACUUGACGCUUUUUUCGUCGACCUACGUUGUAUUAUACCGCAUAACUUUCUACUGGAUGUACCGAUUUUGAUAAUUCUUUUUUUGUUGAAAAGGGGAUAUCCCUAGUUUGGUACCGUGAUAAGGAAACCAGGAUCUGAUGAUGGGAUCCCAGAGAAAUCAAGGGAAACUCUCGAAAAUCCGGAAUAACUUUUUACUGGGUGUACCGAUUUUGAUAAUUUUUAAUUUAAUCGAAAGCUAAUGUUUAUCAUGUGGUCACAUAUAAAUUUUAUCGAGAUC
This 485-nucleotide unclassified non-coding RNA is filed under the name Melitaea cinxia (Glanville fritillary). RNAcentral's name for it is "misc RNA ENSMCXG00005021381.1". Lineage: Eukaryota; Metazoa; Arthropoda; Insecta; Lepidoptera; Nymphalidae. The record is from RNAcentral.